CAGCCGCCGCGGGAAUACGAAGGGUGCAAGCGUUACUCGGAAUUACUGGGCGUAAAGCGUGCGUAGGUGGUGGUUUAAGUCCGUUGUGAAAGCCCUGGGCUCAACCUGGGAAUUGCAGUGGAUACUGGGUCACUAGAGUGUGGUAGAGGAUAGUGGAAUUUCCGGUGUAGUAGUGAAAUGCGUAGAGAUCGGAAGGAACAUCUGUGGCGAAGGCGACUAUCUGGGCCAACACUGACACUGAGGCACGAAAGCGUGGGGAGCAAACAGGAUUAGAUACCCGGGUAGUCCCUGUCUCUUAUAA
This 301-nucleotide ribosomal RNA is filed under the name uncultured bacterium. RNAcentral describes it as "partial 16S ribosomal RNA". It matches the Rfam family "Bacterial small subunit ribosomal RNA", at positions 509 to 809 of the family's 1533-position model. The record is from RNAcentral.